CAUCAGAUGACUGAAAGCAAGUAAUGGUCUCUUAAACCAGUGUAUGAUACCUUAGCAUGUAUCUCUGAUGA
RNAcentral lists this transfer RNA (71 nucleotides) under Crepititermes verruculosus. Its description in RNAcentral is "tRNA-Lys". Lineage: Eukaryota; Metazoa; Arthropoda; Insecta; Blattodea; Termitidae. The record is from RNAcentral.